UACAGAGGUCUCAAGCGUUGUUCGGAUUCAUUGGGCGUAAAGGGUGCGUAGGUGGCGGGGUAAGUCAGGUGUGAAAUCUCGGGGCUCAACCCCGAAACUGCACUUGAUACUGCCUUGCUAGAGUACUGGAGAGGAGAUUGGAAUUUACGGUGUAGCAGUGAAAUGCGUAGAUAUCGUAAGGAAGACCAGUGGCGAAGGCGAAUCUCUGGACAGUUACUGACACUGAGGCACGAAGGCCAGGGGAGCAAACGGG
Molecule: ribosomal RNA, 253 nt
Filed under: uncultured bacterium
Lineage: Bacteria
Description: partial 16S ribosomal RNA
Rfam family: Bacterial small subunit ribosomal RNA
Source: RNAcentral